GAUAAUUUAAAAUAGCAAAAAUAAAACUACCAGGGAAUGUGGAUUUUACGAAUAUUGGAAGACUCUCUAUUCAAUAAUUACCUACUAAGAAAUAAUUUAUGUUUGACCUAGGUAUCAUCCCCAUUGCCCAUAUUUUAAUGCUAUC
Long non-coding RNA from Maniola jurtina (meadow brown), 145 nucleotides. RefSeq lists it as uncharacterized. Lineage: Eukaryota; Metazoa; Arthropoda; Insecta; Lepidoptera; Nymphalidae. The record is from RefSeq and is a predicted model, not a curated record. The transcript has 3 exons.